RNAcentral lists this ribosomal RNA (549 nucleotides) under uncultured bacterium. Its description in RNAcentral is "bacterial SSU rRNA". It matches the Rfam family "Bacterial small subunit ribosomal RNA", at positions 355 to 896 of the family's 1533-position model. The record is from RNAcentral.
UAGGGAAUCUUCGGCAAUGGACGGAAGUCUGACCGAGCAACGCCGCGUGAGUGAAGAAGGUUUUCGGAUCGUAAAGCUCUGUUGUAAGAGAAGAACGAGUGUGAGAGUGGAAAGUUCACACUGUGACGGUAUCUUACCAGAAAGGGACGGCUAACUACGUGCCAGCAGCCGCGGUAAUACGUAGGUCCCGAGCGCUGUCCGGAUUUAUUGGGCGUAAAGCGAGCGCAGGCGGUUAGAUAAGUCUGAAGUUAAAGGCUGUGGCUUAACCAUAGUACGCUUUGGAAACUGUUUAACUUGAGUGCAAGAGGGGAGAGUGGAAUUCCAUGUGUAGCGGUGAAAUGCGUAGAUAUAUGGAGGAACACCGGUGGCGAAAGCGGCUCUCUGGCUUGUAACUGACGCUGAGGCUCGAAAGCGUGGGGAGCAAACAGGAUUAGAUACCCUGGUAGUCCACGCCGUANCGAUGAGUGCUAGGUGUUAGACCCUUUCCGGGGUUUAGUGCCGCAGCUAACGCAUUAAGCACUCCGCCUGGGGAGUACGACCGCAAGGUUG